GGUCAAAGGGGACAACCGUCCCGGGCCCCGCCGUUGUUAGGGGCCCCAAGGUCCAGGCAGCGGGCAACAGCGGCUGCAGUUCAUCACAACUGUCAAAAAAAACUGUUUGCUCCCGGCAACGCGGAUUCGCGAGCCGGCCGCUGCGCUGUGAUUUAAGUGUGUGUUUGUUUGCGUGCGCCCCCCCAGUCCCGUGUGCUGUUCAACCCCUCAGUGCCCUGUGAUUGAUCCUGUGUGCUGCUCACCCCUCAGUGCCCUGUUCACCCCUCAGUGCCCCCAGCCCCCAGGUCACCUGUUAUCCUGCCAACCAGUCCCCAGCCAGGAAGCUCGGCCGGACAGGUCACCUGUUAUCCUGCCAGCCAGUCCCCAGCCAGGACCGCCCCUCCAGCGUCCUCACCGCACGCUUCCUCCCUGUCUCUCUCUGCUGUGUGAGUGAGGAGCCGGACUGAGGCACGGAACGCACAGCAGGAGCUGCCAAGACAGGACAGACAGAGUACUGCGGCCUGUGGGAAUUGGGGAGGCGAGCCUGGUGAAUUAGAGCGGCUGUGUCAGUGUGUUGCUGCAGCAGCAAGCAGGAUGUCAUGUCACGUGCCGCAGCCUACCAGUAAUGGAGGAGAGACAGUGGGAACACAGAAACGAGAUAUUACUGCCACAUAACCCAGCAUUCAGUUUGUGGUUGGAUUCAAACUACUAUGGUUCAGUACAUUUCUGGGCACAUGCAUUGAAAGAAGGAUUUAGACAGAAAGAGAAAGACAACCUAUCUGAUGUGGCCUUUUAAUAAUCACAGGAACAUCAACAUCGGAAAUCACAUCACAAGCAUCGAUGCUAGUCCAGUAUUCGUCCCACAUAGAUAAACCAUGGACAGUGGACACUGUCACUAAGCAUACAGAAGGAGGAUGAUGCAAAACAUCAACAUCGCAACUACGUCCAGGUCAGCACGCAAUGAGCAGCGUAUAUGCGAUGGCACAAUGACCUACAACCUCUGCCAUGGAGAUACAGGGUCAGUCAUGUGUACCCGCGGGUCUCUCGCCUGCACAUCGCAUAUUAGAAAAUGUGGGCAGAUAAGCACAUGGACAAGGCCGAGCUGAUCUAUACAUGAAGGUCGUGCGAUAUACGGGCGAUCGCAGACACAUCAGAACACCCUAGUGUAUCAGCGAUAAAGAUAUACGCUCUUCACCGGCCACUGGAAGACAUCGGUCGGAACAUGCGCAUACCUAGGCCUAGUGAACCCAUGGAGCGUAAAUGCGACUUCUCACCUGCCUGUCCCCCCGAUCCAUGGUGUGUGUGUGCGUGUAUGUGUACAGAGGAUAGGAGGUUACAGAGUGUAUGUGUGUGUGAGCAGGGCGAUCUCUCACACCGGCUGCUCCCCCCGAUCCAUGUGAUUGUACAAUGUUCUCUGGGUCCCUUUGUGACGUCACAAUGCGGCUGCUCGCACUUUUUCUCCCUAUACCCCUGCUCUGUCUCAUUUGCAUCUGAAUGACGUCACGUGGUAUGCGGCCCAAUGGCUGCUCUGUCCAUUGUCCCCAGCGGCAGCUGCUGUGUGUAAGGGCAGGGGGAACAGAAAUGCUUUGGUUGUAAGAACCUCCCGUAGCUGUUUUUUCAUCAUGAUGUUGUUUUCUUUUGGAAGAUCGUAUCUUGCAUGUAAUCCCCUUCAGACUUCUUCCUUAUAAAGUUAAUACUGUGUUAUUAAAUAUGUACAAAAAAUAAUAAAUAAAAAAUUAUAAUAAAAAUCA
Pseudophryne corroboree (corroboree frog) is the source of this 1730-nucleotide long non-coding RNA. RefSeq lists it as uncharacterized. The transcript is spliced from 3 exons. Lineage: Eukaryota; Metazoa; Chordata; Amphibia; Anura; Myobatrachidae. The record is from RefSeq and is a predicted model, not a curated record.